GUUUAGAUUCUUGUGGUGCUGCUAUUAAAAGCUUUGAAGCUUUGGAAUCGUAGUGAGGGUGGAGGUGAAUUUCAAACCUGCAUGGAGGCUGUGCACUUUUCCAUUUUUGCACUGGCUUCUUGCUGUGCGUGUCUCGAAGACUCCUGCCUCUUUUCUGUCUUGUAGAAUCCCUGUGGAGUCGCAGCCAGGCAGAGCCUUCAGCCGGCCACAGGGUCAGCAAGAAGAGGAAGUGCACCUUGCCCCGUGCUUGUUCCUGUUCUCAAACGUGAAGAUCGCACUGCUGUGCUGCGAAUACCCUACUUCUCCUCCACAAAGCCACAUGUGCUUUUUAAUGAGAGCAGGUUUGUCUGCUUGGCUACCUAACAAAAAACGGGAACAUGACCGACGUCUGGCUGAGAAAAGAUUUUUGGGUAUUUUUUCUGACGGAAUGAAAGGGGUCGGAGGUGGUGUCUGUAUUCACUGAUGCUGCAGGAGACAGCUCCUGCUGGCGCGAGCAGGAGGUGACAGGAGAGUGGAAGAGCUGCCUGACGUGAUCACAGCUUGCGAUGGCACUGGGCCCUGCUGGUGACGCCUGAGGCCUAGGCGGUCCAGUGGCAAUGCGGGGGCCCAGCUCCUGUCCUUACUGCUGCCCAGUGGACACCUAGUCUCUGUAGGUCACAUUGGGUGAAUGGGGUGUACAAGUAUACUGCUGAAUGUUCUUCUUCCCUUUCUCCUGCUCUUCCUGGGUUCUGCUGAGGGGAAGACCUGCUGCUGGUGUGCGUUUCAUUGGAACGUGUGUGAAGGAUGAUCAUGAUCACGGUUUUGGUUUGAUCAGCACUUGGUUAUGUGUGGAGUCUAAAUCAAGAAUCCUUCAGGAACCAGCUGGGCAAGAUCAAUUCAGAACGUCAGAAAAAUUGCAAACAAGAGGAGGUUCUUCUGCUUAUCUGGCCUGGUUGGAAGUUUGUAGUCAGAUGAUCUGAAGAUCUCAUCCAGCUGUUUCUUGACAGAAGCCAAGGUAUGGGCUUUGAUGACUUAGCUGGGUAGCCUGGUCCACACCCCCCACAACCCUCUGUAUUAAAGAAGUACCUUCUACCCUUGUUUGUGUUUCGUACAAUUUGCUACUAACAGCCAAACAAGAUAAAACGAUUGAGUUACAUUCUCUGCUAUGAAACCUAUUUUUACAUUCACAUUUACUUUAAAGUCAAUCAGUGAUUCAUACAUCCUCAGAAGUUAAUGACACUGAAUAGAGCAUUUAUUCUGAGGUCUCCAUUGCAGCAGGAGCAAUUUAU
Molecule: long non-coding RNA, 1268 nt
Filed under: Lepisosteus oculatus (spotted gar)
Lineage: Eukaryota; Metazoa; Chordata; Actinopteri; Semionotiformes; Lepisosteidae
Description: lncRNA (ENSLOCG00000022581.1)
Source: RNAcentral